UUUGAACUGUAGCUUUUAAAACAUGUUCACAUUUGGAAUACAACUGAUGAAAAUCUGAAACUGCCAUGACCCUAGAAUCAUGGUAGUUACAAUCAAUUCAAGCCAUUCAAAUAAGCUCGAAAAUAGUCUUGCUUAGUUCGAAUUAUACAGUCCAAAGUUUAGAAGUACAAAUCAAAAUAUAAACUAUAUCAACCUAUUACACAUCAUUUAAAGUCUAUUGACUAUUAAACACAGCAAUCCAAACAAGUACAAUUCAGGGAGCAGAUAGAAGAAUAUUUUUCAUUUCGUUUUCACCUCAAGGCUACACCAAUUCAAGUUCAUAUAUGUACCUGGAAAAUAGAGCAAAAGGAGAAGGUUGAAGAUCAGCUAAGUAGCAACAAAUAGUAUCAACGGAUCACUUUUAAAUCCCAGGGACUGAUCUCAAAUAAACCAGGAAAAUCAUUUCCUGCAAAUAAAACCAGUAAACAACUCAAAAUAGCCUCAAAUACAAUGGAGAUUGAAUCUAGUGAACCUCUGAAGUUUUAGCACUUCAAACACAUGCAUUUCAAGUCAUUUUAAUCUUAUUUAAGCUAGACAUUCAAAUUGAUAGACGAGGACAGGAAUUAAUCUGAGGGAAACACUCUAAUGAAAUAGUAUUUUUGGGAUUUCUAAGAAUUUAGGAUCUAAAUGGACUUUCUAGCUCUAAAUUACAGCAUUGGCUUUUUGAAUUUGAAAUUCUAACUUUUGAGAGAUCUUCGGGGUUCUGAAACUUUUGGGGAUAUUUUUUCAGGGGUCCAAACUUGAAAAACAAGGCAGUAGGGAUUGCCUUUUAUAGUCAAAAUUUAGGUUUCCCUCAUAUUUCAGUAUUACAACUUUAGUCCUUCUUUUAUUUUGUUUUUUAGCUUAGGCAGCCUCAGCUUUCUGACUUGUGCCUCAAGACUUAAUACUAAAUUAUUAAAAUUCUAUUUCCAACCCCAACUAGAAGGUUCUAGUGGUUUCUAAUUCAUGUUACUGCAGGAAUCUUACGAUCAAAAGGCCUAUAUUACCCUUGAAUUUAAUCUAAAUUACUAACCUAUGUCAAAACUAGACUAACCUUUCUAAACUAACCAUGGUUAACCUGGCAGUUUUGGAAAUCAUUUAGCUAUAACCAAGUAAUCCUUAAAUUGAAUUAGUAAUCCUAUAACCUAAUAAAACUCAUUUAAAAUUAAUUGAUAUAUAACAUAUGACUAAUUUUAUCAGUAAACUAGUAAAACAAUAAGUGAACGAUUCUAAACUCAAACAUGAAAAUAUACUGUAACAAAAUAGCAAAAUCCACAAAACCGAAUGAAUUGUAAAAAACAACAGCAAACAAAUCCAAUCUCUAAUAAACCUACACAAAACUCAAACCAAAAUAGAACAAGCUUAAAUGGAUUUCAAAGAUGAAAACAGCACCAGGGGAAGAAUUUUUAACAUCUAACAUGAAGAUUGAAACUAUAAUCGGAUAUCUAACACAACUAAACCUUAAACAAGCAUGGAAAAAAAUGAACAAAACAAAAUCAAUCAAAAGAGAACCUAGAAAGCCCUACACCACAUGAAUAUUGAACCAUUAAUGAAAGGAAAAAGAUAAGAAAACCUAAAUUCCGAAAUUGAAACUUUCCUUAAGCUAAAUCAGAAAAAGGAACACUUGAAGAAAAAUAGAAGGAAAAGAACUUGGAAACAAUUGUGAAACUAAACAAAACAAAAAGGAUAAUGGGAACUCACCAAUUCCAACCCCCAGGCGGGACUGAACUUCCCAAUUUAACCGCAAAACAUUGUCAAUCGUCUAUUCCCUAUCAAGAACAGGUGACUGACAUCAUUUCGCAAUGAAAUCGUCUCUAAAACCUCAGGAGAUUGAACCCUUGCCCUUGCAUGCAUAACCCUGAAUUAAGCCUUUUAGGGUUUGAACCUUUGAUUUGAUAUACGAAGGGUUCUGGUCAAAUUUGAAGGAAAUUAGCUUGAGAUUUAGGAAGAGGGAAUCAGGGUGAGUCUGGGGUGUAAUUUUUGUGGAUUUUGGCGGUG
Molecule: long non-coding RNA, 2016 nt
Filed under: Nicotiana benthamiana
Lineage: Eukaryota; Viridiplantae; Streptophyta; Magnoliopsida; Solanales; Solanaceae
Description: long non-coding RNA (NBEN_LNC036020)
Source: RNAcentral